Long non-coding RNA from Coturnix japonica (Japanese quail), 1554 nucleotides. The record is from Ensembl. Lineage: Eukaryota; Metazoa; Chordata; Aves; Galliformes; Phasianidae.
CAUGUAUUAGAACAGCGAGACUGUAAAAUGAAAACUCCUCCCUUGCUUUUCCUGAAACAAAGCAACAAGCAUGUAUUUGAAAUCAUGAGCACAUAAAGAAGGAUUUGUGUUUAUUAUCAUAGUAAGCAGGAUGCCAUGCAUACUACUGUAAGGUUCACGACUACGCAGCUCUACAGGGGUUUAUGUUAGAAACACUGCAAAAAAUAAAUAUGGAGCUCUACAAAUCCAGGGUGGUUUGUUGUGUCUUAGUCUUAUUAUCCAAGUUAAUGAUGCUGCCAUGUCACAGCUGCACUCCAUGCCAGCUGGCUCUCCAGUGGUGCUGCUUGGCACCUGUGGAGCCAAGUUAGGCUUCAUGGGUCUGCCCCACGUCGAAGGGCAUAUGCCUCUCUUCACCUGGGAAGCUCAGACUGGAGGAAAGAACCAGACCUGGGCCAGACAGGGGCUGUGGGUGCCUUAGUUGCAGCUCUGAUGGCUGGGGAGGGCUGCAGGAUGGACAAAGCAAAUGACGAAGACAUCAUCCAUUUUCCCAACUCCAUCCUGGCUCCUGUGCCUGAUGGCAGAGCAGGAAAGCAAAAAGGAACUCACAGUCACAGUUUAGGACCUGGGUGCAGCAGACAACAGCUCAGGACUCAACUCAAAGGACAUGGCUUGCCAUUACUGUCAGUGCAUGUUCAUAUUGCACCAGUCCACAGGUUCAGCAAAAUCACAGCAGCAUACGGCUACAGUCACGCUGCAGUGAAUUAAGACUAUAUGGAUGUCCAGGUGAAGGCUUUGGAGCGUCACAUACACAUAUCUCCUCCUUUAAGGUCUGCAGCUAAGAAAAGCUGUUCUGAAUGAGAUUCAGAGAGGCUCAAUCCUCUCAUUCCCUGAAGAGAUCCCAAAAGCAGAAAGCAAGACCAGGAUUGCAUUGGUAUAUUGGCUGAUGGGUACAAAAUCUUCUGACAUGUCGUUCGCUCAGCCCUGAUUGGAAAAUAUCUUUAAUUAAAACACCACAUCAGAAUCCUGAACCAAUUUCAUCCCAGCUCUGCUAAGUGCUUUGUACAAAACAUUAACUCUAAAAUCUCAUUACACAUUAGCAAUCCCUGUGACAAACAUAAAUGAUAAUUUAGCUCUAAUGCAUUCUGGAGCAAGCCAUUUUUAAGGGAGUCGAAUGAUAUCAGCUUGCUAGGAGAAGGAGAAGAGUUGAAUUUAGCUGUCUCUUUAUUUUUUAAACAAAUGGCCCUAGCUGGUUCAGCAAUGGGCUGUACAAAUCAUUGCAGUGUGUAGCUCUGACAGUAUACAGCAGCUGUUUAGCCAGAACCUGGCACUCCUGCCUGGGCUGGGUUUUGCAAUCCCACCAGCAGUGCUAAGUUCACGGGCCUUCAUAAGCAUUCAGGGAAAGGAAAAGGCAAUGGGGAAGGUCGGAUGGGAAAGGUGGGGUGCUGAUUUGACAGGACAGUGGUGGGGAGGAGCAGUAUCUGGAGUUCCCUGGUAUUCUGAGUUUGCUCCAAACCACAGGUAGAGGGGACAAGGAAUGGGGCUGACUUUCUCCAGUCAUUUCAGCUGGUUUCAUAG